This is a long non-coding RNA of Elgaria multicarinata webbii, 341 nucleotides long. RefSeq lists it as uncharacterized. NCBI's taxonomy places the organism in Eukaryota, Metazoa, Chordata, Lepidosauria, Squamata, Anguidae. The record is from RefSeq and is a predicted model, not a curated record. The transcript is spliced from 4 exons.
GUGCCGUGCCCUGGGGGCCCUUCCAGAGAGGGGGCAGAAGACCACGGCCCCACAUGUGGCAUCUGGCCAGGGGCUGCAGCGCCCAGCAGGUCCCUGGAGCAGAGCAGAGGCAGCCAUGACAGCCCCUCAGAUCGUGGUCACUGCCUGCACGGAUGGGGCGCUGACUGAGUCGGACCGGGAGGCCUCGGACGACGGGGGCGGCAGCCUGGGACCCAGUGCAGUGGCGUUGGAGCCUCUCGAGAAGGAGUGGCUGCAGGGCGCGGCCAGUGGCCACAUGGCUACUCUCAGCCACCUACUUCAGAAGGACCCCAUGCUUGCCAGUAAAAAGGACUUCACUUCGG